GUACACAAAAAUGCACAUGCUGUGAGCUCGAUGAGUAGGGCGGGACACGUGGUAUCCUGUCUGAAUAUGGGGGGACCAUCCUCCAAGGCUAAAUACUCCUGACUGACCGAUAGUGAACCAGUACCGUGAGGGAAAGGCGAAAAGAACCCCGGCGAGGGGAGUGAAAAAGAACCUGAAACCGUGUACGUACAAGCAGUGGGAGCACGCUUAGGCGUGUGACUGCGUACCUUUUGUAUAAUGGGUCAGCGACUUAUAUUCUGUAGCAAGGUUAACCGAAUAGGGGAGCCGAAGGGAAACCGAGUCUUAACUGGGCGUUAAGUUGCAGGGUAUAGACCCGAAACCCGGUGAUCUAGCCAUGGGCAGGUUGAAGGUUGGGUAACACUAACUGGAGGACCGAACCGACUAAUGUUGAAAAAUUAGCGGAUGACUUGUGGCUGGGGGUGAAAGGCCAAUCAAACCGGGAGAUAGCUGGUUCUCCCCGAAAGCUAUUUAGGUAGCGCCUCGUGAAUUCAUCUCCGGGGGUAGAGCACUGUUUCGGCAAGGGGGUCAUCCCGACUUACCAACCCGAUGCAAACUGCGAAUACCGGAGAAUGUUAUCACGGGAGACACACGGCGGGUGCUAACGUCCGUCGUGAAGAGGGAAACAACCCAGACCGCCAGCUAAGGUCCCAAAGUCAUGGUUAAGUGGGAAACGAUGUGGGAAGGCCCAGACAGCCAGGAUGUUGGCUUAGAAGCAGCCAUCAUUUAAAGAAAGCGUAAUAGCUCACUGGUCGAGUCGGCCUGCGCGGAAGAUGUAACGGGGCUAAACCAUGCACCGAAGCUGCGGCAGCGACACUGUGUGUUGUUGGGUAGGGGAGCGUUCUGUAAGCCUGCGAAGGUGUGCUGUGAGGCAUGCUGGAGGUAUCAGAAGUGCGAAUGCUGACAUAAGUAACGAUAAAGCGGGUGAAAAGCCCGCUCGCCGGAAGACCAAGGGUUCCUGUCCAACGUUAAUCGGGGCAGGGUGAGUCGACCCCUAAGGCGAGGCCGAAAGGCGUAGUCGAUGGGAAACAGGUUAAUAUUCCUGUACUUGGUGUUACUGCGAAGGGGGGACGGAGAAGGCUAUGUUGGCCGGGCGACGGUUGUCCCGGUUUAAGCGUGUAGGCUGGUUUUCCAGGCAAAUCCGGAAAAUCAAGGCUGAGGCGUGAUGACGAGGCACUACGGUGCUGAAGCAACAAAUGCCCUGCUUCCAGGAAAAGCCUCUAAGCAUCAGGUAACAUCAAAUCGUACCCCAAACCGACACAGGUGGUCUGGUAGAGAAUACCAAGGCGCUUGAGAGAACUCGGGUGAAGGAACUAGGCAAAAUGGUGCCGUAACUUCGGGAGAAGGCACGCUGAUAUGUAGGUGAAGUCCCUCGCGGAUGGAGCUGAAAUCAGUCGAAGAUACCAGCUGGCUGCAACUGUUUAUUAAAAACACAGCACUGUGCAAACACGAAAGUGGACGUAUACGGUGUGACGCCUGCCCGGUGCCGGAAGGUUAAUUGAUGGGGUCAGCGCAAGCGAAGCUCUUGAUCGAAGCCCCGGUAAACGGCGGCCGUAACUAUAACGGUCCUAAGGUAGCGAAAUUCCUUGUCGGGUAAGUUCCGACCUGCACGAAUGGCGUAAUGAUGGCCAGGCUGUCUCCACCCGAGACUCAGUGAAAUUGAACUCGCUGUGAAGAUGCAGUGUACCCGCGGCAAGACGGAAAGACCCCGUGAACCUUUACUAUAGCUUGACACUGAACAUUGAGCCUUGAUGUGUAGGAUAGGUGGGAGGCUUUGAAGUGUGGACGCCAGUCUGCAUGGAGCCGACCUUGAAAUACCACCCUUUAAUGUUUGAUGUUCUAACGUUGACCCGUGAUCCGGGUUGCGGACAGUGUCUGGUGGGUAGUUUGACUGGGGCGGUCUCCUCCUAAAGAGUAACGGAGGAGCACGAAGGUUGGCUAAUCCUGGUCGGACAUCAGGAGGUUAGUGCAAUGGCAUAAGCCAGCUUGACUGCGAGCGUGACGGCGCGAGCAGGUGCGAAAGCAGGUCAUAGUGAUCCGGUGGUUCUGAAUGGAAGGGCCAUCGCUCAACGGAUAAAAGGUACUCCGGGGAUAACAGGCUGAUACCGCCCAAGAGUUCAUAUCGACGGCGGUGUUUGGCACCUCGAUGUCGGCUCAUCACAUCCUGGGGCUGAAGUAGGUCCCAAGGGUAUGGCUGUUCGCCAUUUAAAGUGGUACGCGAGCUGGGUUUAGAACGUCGUGAGACAGUUCGGUCCCUAUCUGCCGUGGGCGCUGGAGAACUGAGGGGGGCUGCUCCUAGUACGAGAGGACCGGAGUGGACGCAUCACUGGUGUUCGGGUUGUCAUGCCAAUGGCACUGCCCGGUAGCUAAAUGCGGAAGAGAUAAGUGCUGAAAGCAUCUAAGCACGAAACUUGCCCCGAGAUGAGUUCUCCCUGACUCCUUGAGAGUCCUGAAGGAACGUUGAAGACGACGACGUUGAUAGGCCGGGUGUGUAAGCGCAGCGAUGCGUUGAGCUAACCGGUACUAAUGAACCGUGAGGCUUAACCUUACAACGCCGAAGGUGUUU
RNAcentral lists this ribosomal RNA (2584 nucleotides) under Escherichia coli. RNAcentral's name for it is "partial 23S ribosomal RNA". It matches the Rfam family "Bacterial large subunit ribosomal RNA", at positions 375 to 2925 of the family's 2925-position model. Lineage: Bacteria; Pseudomonadati; Pseudomonadota; Gammaproteobacteria; Enterobacterales; Enterobacteriaceae. The record is from RNAcentral.